AACGAACGCUGGCGGCAUGCCUAACACAUGCAAGUCGAACGAGAUCUUCGGGUCUAGUGGCGCACGGGUGCGUAACGCGUGGAAUCUGCCCUUUGGUUCGGAAUAACAGUUGGAAACGACUGCUAAUACCGGAUGAUGACGAAAGUCCAAAGAUUUAUCGCCAGAGGAUGAGCCCGCGUAGGAUUAUCUAGUUGGUGUGGUAAAGGCGCACCAAGGCGACGAUCCUUAGCUGGUCUGAGAGGAUGAUCAGCCACACUGGGACUGAGACACGGCCCAGACUCCUACGGGAGGCAGCAGUGGGGAAUAUUGGACAAUGGGCGAAAGCCUGAUCCAGCAAUGCCGCGUGAGUGAUGAAGGCCUUAGGGUUGUAAAGCUCUUUUACCCGGGAUGAUAAUGACAGUACCGGGAGAAUAAGCUCCGGCUAACUCCGUGCCAGCCGCCGCAGUAA
This 448-nucleotide ribosomal RNA is filed under the name uncultured bacterium. Its description in RNAcentral is "partial 16S ribosomal RNA". It matches the Rfam family "Bacterial small subunit ribosomal RNA", at positions 29 to 523 of the family's 1533-position model. The record is from RNAcentral.